RNAcentral lists this ribosomal RNA (872 nucleotides) under uncultured bacterium. Its description in RNAcentral is "bacterial SSU rRNA". It matches the Rfam family "Bacterial small subunit ribosomal RNA", at positions 28 to 896 of the family's 1533-position model. The record is from RNAcentral.
GAUGAACGCUAGCGGCAAGCUUAAUACAUGCAAGUCGAGGGGCAGCAUGAAGUAGCAAUACUUUGAUGGCGACCGGCAAACGGGUGCGGAACACGUACACAACCUUCCUUUUAGUGGGGAAUAGCCCAGAGAAAUUUGGAUUAAUACCCCGUAACAUAACUGAGUGGCAUCACUCGGUUAUUAUAGCUUCGGCGCUAAAUGAUGGGUGUGCGUAUGAUUAGAUAGUUGGCGAGGUAACGGCUCACCAAGUCUACGAUCAUUAGCUGAUGUGAGAGCAUGAUCAGCCACACGGGCACUGAGACACGGGCCCGACUCCUACGGGAGGCAGCAGUAAGGAAUAUUGGUCAAUGGACGCAAGUCUGAACCAGCUAUGCCGCGUGAAGGAUUAAGGUCCUCUGGAUUGUAAACUUCUUUUAUCUGGGACGAAAAAAGGUCUUUCUAGACCCCUUGACGGUACCAGAUGAAUAAGCACCGGCUAACUCCGUGCCAGCAGCCGCGGUAAUACGGAGGGUGCAAGCGUUAUCCGGAUUCACUGGGUUUAAAGGGUGCGUAGGCGGGUAGGUAAGUCAGUGGUGAAAUCCUGGAGCUCAACUCCAGAACUGCCAUUGAUACUAUCUAUCUUGAAUAUUGUGGAGGUAAGCGGAAUAUGUCAUGUAGCGGUGAAAUGCUUAGAUAUGACAUAGAACACCCAUUGCGAAGGCAGCUUACUACGCAUAUAUUGACGCUGAGGCACGAAAGCGUGGGGAUCAAACAGGAUUAGAUACCCUGGUAGUCCACGCCCUAAACGAUGGAUACUCGACAUACGCGAUACACUGUGUGUGUCUGAGCGAAAGCAUUAAGUAUCCCACCUGGGAAGUACGUUCGCAAGAAUG